Molecule: ribosomal RNA, 890 nt
Filed under: Paraorygmatobothrium prionacis
Lineage: Eukaryota; Metazoa; Platyhelminthes; Cestoda; Phyllobothriidea; Phyllobothriidae
Description: partial large subunit ribosomal RNA
Source: RNAcentral
AACCGCUGCAGGUAAACGGGUGGCGUCAAGCUGCGAACCCAGAGGAUUCAGCUGGCUAGGAUGUUGUGGUGCGCCUGGCGCAUCCAUCAGUCGGAAUAAGAUGUGAUAGUCCACUGGGAGACGGUGGGCCCGGCCGCAAGGUUGGGAUAUGUGUACCGGGUGUUAGCCGGAGCAUGCUAUUCAUCUGUUGGGCUGUCUAGUCAGUGCACUUUCUCUGUGGUGAACACCACGACCGGUGGAAUUGCCAGUCUGCUGUAGUCAAGUCUUGCUGAGUGGGUCCUUGUGGCUGACUUGGUGAGAUCACAGGCAAUGUCAGUGUACGGCGUAGGAGUGCCUUUGGUGUUCCUACGUGUUAUCGGGUACUGCUUGUCAUCGGGCUUGCUCGGUGGUUAUUGUAACUACCGCUGGGUGGUCUGGUGGGCUAUGGUGGUAAUAAAAACUGUGCAAGGCACCGGAGAUGUCGGCCUCAAAAGCGCUCUGCACUGGCAUGUUACAAGUGCGUGGGGGUGCCGUUGCGGUCUGCCUGUUGUUGAGUCUGAUUGUCGUGUCGCCUGCGCAAAGUGGGCCCGGCAGUGGCUUGAUGCGGGAUGGGCUGUGGAUGGUAUUUCUCAGGUGUGGAGUGCGGUGGGCCCAAUAGUCAGUGGUGCUGUGGUAGACGAGCUACCCGACCCGUCUUGAAACACGGACCAAGGAGUUUAACAUGUAUGCGAGUCAAGGGGUCCUACGAAACCCAAAGGCGCAGUGAAAGUAAAGCUUCGACUUGUUCUCGGAGUGAGGUGAGAUCCUGCCGUAACUCGCAUCGCCUGGUGCCAGCAUCAGGCAAAGAGCGGUAGGCGCAUCACCGGCCCGUCCCAUGAUGUGGUCAUUGGAUGUCUGCGGUCGUAGCUUGC